Molecule: ribosomal RNA, 206 nt
Filed under: uncultured bacterium
Lineage: Bacteria
Description: partial 16S ribosomal RNA
Rfam family: Bacterial small subunit ribosomal RNA
Source: RNAcentral
CGUGUAGGCGGUUACACAAGUCGGGUGUGAAAGCCCAGGGCUCAACCCUGGAAGUGCACUCGAAACUGUGCGACUAGAGGCUCGGAGAGGAAAGCGGAAUUCUGGGUGUAGAGGUGAAAUUCGUAGAUAUCCAGAGGAACACCGGUGGCGAAGGCGGCUUUCUGGACGAGUUCUGACGCUGAGACGCGAAAGCGUGGGAGCAAACA